This 68-nucleotide transfer RNA is filed under the name Bacillus mojavensis. RNAcentral describes it as "tRNA-Met". It matches the Rfam family "tRNA". From Rfam's summary of the family: Transfer RNA (tRNA) molecules are approximately 80 nucleotides in length. Their secondary structure includes four short double-helical elements and three loops (D, anti-codon, and T loops). Further hydrogen bonds mediate the characteristic L-shaped molecular structure. tRNAs have two regions of fundamental functional importance: the anti-codon, which is responsible for specific mRNA codon recognition, and the 3' end, to which the tRNAs corresponding amino acid is attached (by aminoacyl-tRNA synthetases). tRNAs cope with the degeneracy of the genetic code in two manners: having more than one tRNA (with a specific anti-codon) for a particular amino acid; and 'wobble' base-pairing, i.e. permitting non-standard base-pairing at the 3rd anti-codon position. The record is from RNAcentral. Lineage: Bacteria; Bacillati; Bacillota; Bacilli; Caryophanales; Bacillaceae.
GUGGAGCAGUUCGGUAGCUGGUCGGGCUCAUAACCCGAAGUUCUCUGGUCCAAUUCCUGACCCCCCCA